UGGGGAAUAUUGCACAAUGGGCGAAAGCCUGAUGCAGCAACGCCGCGUGAGUGAUGAAGGUCUUCGGAUUGUAAAGCUCUGUCUUUUGGGACGAUAAUGACGGUACCAAAGGAGGAAGCCACGGCUAACUACGUGCCAGCAGCCGCGGUAAUACGUAGGUGGCGAGCGUUGUCCGGAUUUACUGGGCGUAAAGGGUGCGUAGGCGGAUGUUUAAGUGAGAUGUGAAAUACCCGGGCUUAACUUGGGUGCUGCAUUUCAAACUGGAUAUCUAGAGUGCAGGAGAGGAGAAUGGAGUUCCUAGUGUAGCGGUGAAAUGCGUAGAGAUUAGGAAGAACACCAGUGGCGAAGGCGAUUCUCUGGACUGUAACUGACGCUGAGGCACGAAAGCGUGGGUAGCAAACAGGAUUAGAUACCCUGGUAGUCCACGCCGUAAACGAUGAGUACUAGGUGUAGGAGGUAUCGACCCCUUCUGUGCCGCAGUAAACACAUUAAGUACUCCGCCUGGGAAGUACGAUCGCAAGAUUAAAACUCU
RNAcentral lists this ribosomal RNA (532 nucleotides) under uncultured bacterium. RNAcentral's name for it is "partial 16S ribosomal RNA". It matches the Rfam family "Bacterial small subunit ribosomal RNA", at positions 355 to 903 of the family's 1533-position model. The record is from RNAcentral.